This is a non-coding RNA of Castor canadensis (American beaver), 3113 nucleotides long. NCBI's taxonomy places the organism in Eukaryota, Metazoa, Chordata, Mammalia, Rodentia, Castoridae. The record is from RefSeq and is a predicted model, not a curated record.
UGGCCUCUUGGAUUAAAACAGCAGCUGGCAUCUUUGACAACUGUUUGUAGUUAGUAGACUUUGCACACUUUUUCUUGCUAAUCCAAGCUUGAAAAUACUCUAACCAAAUUUCCCAAGGAUCAGAGUAUUCUGAUGUCCCAUAGAUGUUCCUGUGUUGUUUUUUAAAGUUGAUGGAGAAGUUGUCUUCCUGGCCUGCCAAGCAGUCAAGAUAGGUUGACAAAGUUGUCUCAAGGUUCUUUUGAUGGCAAGUGGCCAAUACCCACAGGAAUCAGCAUUGAAAAUGAGAAUUUGUGGUAUAGCAACAGAAAUGUGUGAAGGAGCUUGAGAGAGUGAGGUUGGGCCUAAGGAAAGAGCUCUUUGUCUCUCACCUCUGCUGCUCUGUCUUCUGGCUUCCUUCUCCUUCUCUGGUUUUCUCCAAGCCCCUUUGCACCAUUGUGGACUGUUGUUUGCCUCUCUUCUCUUAGGUUCACAUGCCCUUACUUAAAAUAUCCCACAGAGAAUGACAAAUGUCUCCAGCCUCCAGUUCCAAAUCUUCCAGGAAGAGUAUCUAAGGAUCCCAGCUCUGUCAGAUAUCCACUCUUCAGAACACCAUUGAUUAGGACAAUAUGGCAUAUGGGCCCCUUCUGGUCAAGUUACUCCUUCAAACUUAAGAAAAUGAAUAAAAAAGGUUGGCAAAUGGAAGAAAGCCAAUUAUGCAACAAUUUUAGAUUUUUGAACGUCUUGUGGAGGCUGCAGAAGAGGCACAUCUGAAACAUGAAUUUGAUGCAGACUUACAGGUAAGUGACUAUAGUUUGAGUUAAAUUGCUCUGUGUAUUUCAGUGAUUGAAAGGGAAAGGUUUUUGAGAGGAUGAUACAGAGUUGGAAUAAACAUGUCUUUCUUCUUGUCAGAGCAGGGGUGGAGAGCCCUAACCCUUUCCCACAUGUGGAUAAUGUGGAAUGUGGAUGAUGCCCCACAUUCAUAUGUGUCUAAUCAGAUUUCAAUGAACUUUUCUCCAAUGUGAGGGGAAUUAGAUAAGUCAACCGACAAAAAUUACCAGAGCUCUGAGGGAAAAAAUGAUAAAAUACUAGAACAUAUCCAAAUCCCACUUCCCUGGCUACAUUUUGAAAUACCAGUGAUUGAAAACAAGGUCAUGAUGACUCUAACCUGAUUGUUAAAAGUUAAAUAAUUCACAUACUUAGGAUUUGAACAUCUGUUUAAUAAAAUUCUUGCAAUAGAUCUCAUAUCCAAUCAUGGCAGUCUGUGUUUGGUUGAGGAGAUGUCGAAGUGCAUAGAAAAUAUAGCAAAAGGUAAUAAGUGAAUGGAAUAAUACUAGGACAUUUUUUGGGGUCUCUCCUGCAGGAACUUACCUAAAUUGUCAUUUUGAGUUUUGUGGCUUUUCCUCACUGUUAGAAAAACUGAAGGAGCAAAUCUGAAAAUCUGUACUUUGUUAGAACAUCUUUCUUUUAGUGACAUGUGUUCAUAAUUAAGAAAUAGUAUUUAUUUUGCUAUGUUACCAUUUAUAUGGAAAAGAUAAAGAUAGACAUAAAUCUUUAAGUACAAAAAAGAUGGCAGUACCAAAGAAGGCUUUGGUUGUAUCUCACUCCCAUGGACCUCUCAUCAUCACUUCCAUCUGUAUUUUUUUCCUUGUUGGUGAAAGAAUGCACACUCAAGUGGGGUAAUUGAUGAAUGUUUAAUAAAAGGAAUUUUUAUAAAUGUGUGAUCAGGUCAACAGAAACCAACAAGUGUCAUGGCAUACCACUUCAGGCCUGAGGAAGUAAGGAGAAUGAAUGGUUUCCAAAAUCCAGUGUGAAUGGCUAUGGUAUUUAGAAGAGGAGUGCAGUCAUUCAUGGUCGGCAGGCAAUGGUGGAAUUUGCACAGAAGAGACCCCAACAACCCUCUCCUGCUUUUGUUCCCCCCACUGAAGAAUCCAGCUGUUGGUGUAAUUGAUACAGUUCAGCCUCCUGAAUUGUUGAGCUGAGUGGAAAGGGUUGAAAAGGGGUUUAGCCCUCUAGAAAAUACCAAGCCCACAAUCUGGGGCUCAUUUUCAAGUAUAACAGUUAGCAAGUGUAAAAACCAGAGACAGAAAUGUAGACAAGUGUAAGAGAUUCUAGGGGGGUGUAGAGAACUGCUAGGAACUGUUGGUAACUUUGGGAGCCCAGUGGGGAGCUUGCCCCAGUCUCAGAAAAAACUACAAAUGAAAAGGCAAAGAACAGCAGUACAAACUUUGAAUAUAAGGAAGAAGAAUUUUGCCUUCAUGUAGCCAAACCUACAUGGUGGCACCAUAAAAAUAUAGGGGUCAUUUACUGGCCACAUUUGUCUUUAGUAAGCCUCAUCUUCAGUCUUCAAACUCUAGGAAGGGGUUGGACUUCCUAGAGUGGUCCAGAGGGAUUUAAUGGAAGCAUCCAGAAGCACUUUUAAAAGUGCAAAGAUGGCGUAUUAAGCCUCUUGAAUGUAUUUUCCUGGGAAUGGUUCCAUUUCCUUGGGAGUACUGGAGGCUUUUCCGAAUGUUCUAGUUGUAAAUGACAGAAACUCAAUUCAAAUCAACUUAAAUCAGAGUGUAACAAUAGAUGAAACAAAAAUCCAUCAUUUGACUGAUAAAUAGAUGUAUGGAUAAGUUGAUAAAAGCAUAAAUAAAUGAGGAGAGAAAGGUUAUAUAGUAGAAAGCUAACUAAUAUAUAUGGGAGAUAUGAUGGAGUUAGAAAAUUAUGGCAGUAAUUGCUUCACAAAAGGAUCUUCAAUGAGUGCUAAAACUGAUGGAUAAAAUUUGAUAAGGAACAGGUUCUUUACAGUCUCAAAGUAUCUGCCUACACACUACUUUUAAUGACAAAUGGAAAACAGCAACUUUACUGUGGAGAAAUCUGGCAGAUACCACCUAAAACAGGUAACAUGAAUGUCACCAAUAUGAGAUAAAGUAACACCAAAUGUCUCCAGAUGUGAAGAUCUGGAAGUAUACAGUGUCAUGUGAGUAGAAUUAUUGCCUAAAAUGUGCAUCUUGAAUCUAACCAUGAUGAAAUAUCAGACAAUUCUAGAUUGAAUAACAUUCUGUGAAGUAAUUGACUAUACUUUUCAUUUAAAAUGUCAAGAUUAAGAAAGACAAUUAGCCAGGCAUGGUGUUACCCACCUGUAAUCCUAG